AUUGAACGCUGGCGGCAUGCCUUACACAUGCAAGUCGAACGGCAGCACGGGAGCAAUCCUGGUGGCGAGUGGCGAACGGGUGAGUAAAGUAUCGGAACGUGCCCAGUCGAGGGGGAUAACGUAGCGAAAGUUACGCUAAUACCGCAUACGAUCUAUGGAUGAAAGCGGGGGAUCGCAAGACCGCGCGCGAUUGGAGUGGCCGAUAUCAGAUUAGGUAGUUGGUGGGGUAAAGGCUCACCAAGCCGACGAUCUGUAGCUGGUCUGAGAGGACGACCAGCCACACUGGGACUGAGACACGGCCCAGACUCCUACGGGAGGCAGCAGUGGGGAAUUUUGGACAAUGGGCGAAAGCCUGAUCCAGCCAUGCCGCGUGCAGGAUGAAGGCCUUCGGGUUGUAAACUGCUUUUGUACGGAACGAAAAGGUUUGGCCUAAUAAGCUGAGCUCAUGACGGUACCGUAAGAAUAAGCACCGGCUAACUACGUGCCAGCCGCCGCCGUAA
RNAcentral lists this ribosomal RNA (500 nucleotides) under uncultured bacterium. RNAcentral describes it as "partial 16S ribosomal RNA". It matches the Rfam family "Bacterial small subunit ribosomal RNA", at positions 30 to 523 of the family's 1533-position model. The record is from RNAcentral.